GAUGAACGCUGGCGGCGUGCCUAAUACAUGCCAGUCGAGCGAACGGACGAGAAGCUUGCUUCUCUGAUGUUAGCGGCGGACGGGUGAGUCACACGUGGAUAACCUACCUAUAAGACUUGGAUAACUUCGGGAAACCGGGGCUAAUACCGGAUAAUAUUUUGAACCGCAUUGUUCAAAAGUGAAAGACGGUCUUGCUUUCACUUAUAGAUUGAUCCGCACUGCAUUAGCUAGUUGUUAAGGUAACGGGUUACCCAGGCAACGAUGCAUAGCCGACCUGAGAGGGUGGUCGGCCACACUGGAACUGAGACACGGCCCAGACUCCUACGGGAGGCAGCAGUAGGGAAUCUUCCGCAAGGGGCGAAAGCCUGACGGAGCAACGCCGCGUGAGUGAUGAAGGUCUUCGGAUCGUAAAACUCUGUUAUUAGGGAAGAACAUAUGUGUAAGUAACUGUGCACAUCUUGACGGUACCUAAUCAGAAAGCCCCGGCUAACUACGUG
Molecule: ribosomal RNA, 497 nt
Filed under: uncultured bacterium
Lineage: Bacteria
Description: partial 16S ribosomal RNA
Rfam family: Bacterial small subunit ribosomal RNA
Source: RNAcentral